CAACCUCCGCCUCCCGGGUUCAAGCGAUUCUCGUGCCUCAGCUUCCAGAGUAGCUGGGAAUACAGUUGCCUACCACCACGCCAGGCUAAUUUUUGUAUUUUGAGUAGAGAAGGGGCUCCACCAUGUUGGCCAAGCUUGUCUCGAACUCCUGACCUCAAUUGAUCCGCCCGCCAUGGCAUCCCAAAGUGCUGGGAUUACAGGUGUGACCCACCGCGCUAGGCUGUCAUUGCAGACUCUGAUGGGGACCACACUCGGGUUAUAAAUUAGGAUCCUCACUGAAAGGGUAGGACCAUGGGGAGCUUUUUCUUGGCCCCUUGGUUGUGGGUUUUCUUCUGGGCGGCGGAGCCUGUUUCCACCAGAACUGCUCAGAGGCGGCCUCUGCCUUCCUGGGGUGACGCAGCAGCGGGAAGCUUUUGCGGAUCCUAGAAUCCGUGGGCGGCCUGUGGGAGGGGCUGAGGCGCAUUUCCCUACUCACCCGGCCCCGAAUCCACCGCAGUGCUGUUUCAAGCGAGUCAGAUUCCAGAUCGCGCUCCAGCCUGGACUCGGAAUUCCUGCCCCGCGGGUCUGCAUUUUCACAGCGGCAGGUGUGACUGACCCGCAGCUGGAGACCAGAAGCCUAAAGGCAGCUCCGCCCUCCCCAGCCCACAGCGCCGUUAUUCCGUUUCUAUAUCAGUAAACACUUGUCAUUUUUCCUUAGCCCGGGGCGGGGUGACCGGUGAUCCCAGUCCUCGCAGUGAACUCCGGGCAGCAGAAUUCAAAACGCUUGCGGCCGCCGAGCGCAGCCCCGCCCUGGUUUAUGUAAAUGACCGCACUGGGCCGUUUCUUUCUUUUCCGGACCCAGCAGUGGAGCCUAAAGUCUGCGAGGAGGAAGUCACCUCUAUGCUCGUGAGUCCAGGAAUCUAAGGAAGGGAAGGAGCCAACUCUGGACUCAAGAUUCAAGGGGACCAGACCCAGAGAGAUGAGACAUACCAGGACUGGGCAGCUGUGGGGGUCCUUCCAGAGAGGAGCUGAGAUACACCUACCUGGAGGGGCCCCAGGGCCUGGAGGGGCUCCUCAGUGUGACUGGCCCCAGGCUCUGGCCUCUCUCUCUCCUCUUCUACCCUCUAGCCGGUAAUGACUGAUUUCCCACUGAGGAGCCAGCUCUAGGGAGCUGUCCUUCCUCCAGGCCCAGGGAAGUGAAAAAAGAAGCAGGAACAGUGAAAUACGCCACAGGAAAGAAAAAUCUUAGUGAUCCCUCCUGCUGUCUCUCUCCUUUUGUCUAUUCUGGCAAAUUUUGUAAGUGAAAUUUGUUACCAAGAUGUGAAAAUCUUAUUAUAAGAAAGUCUCUAAAUAUUUGAGAAUAAAAUGAUCAAUGUCUCAGCUCUGCAGGCUGAAAAAACAGAAUCUUUACAAAAUAAAAUCAUGUUUGGAAAACUUCUCCUCUGAGGGAUAUCAAAGCCUGCACUGAAUAAGCUCUAAGGAGGUGCUGAAAUGACUGCCAUUUAUUUGCCUGUGUAAGCUCAGGCAGGUGUUGGAAUUGAGGAAGGAUAGGUAAUGAAAAAAGUAACCAUGUGCUUGGGGCACAGUGACGGUGAUGACCACAGAAUCAACACAAUAAGCUCUAGCAUUUGCAUCGUAGUCCAGUUCAUUCAAGCAAAGCUAUCUCCAAUAGGGAAUUUACCCUGUACAGAACAUGUGCAUUUUGAUUUCACCUUUUCUAACUGACCCUUUGCUCAUGACAAUAGUGAAAAAAUACAGCCCUGGGUGGAGAUUUAAGAUACUAACGAGUCAUGAGAUGUAUGAACAUGCAUGUACAGCUACUGCACAUGUGCACCAAGAAGACCACCCAGAACAUGCUCACUAGUAACCCCUCUUCCCACCCACCUCCUACGAAUAAUCAUGUAAGACUCCCAUAAAGGGAGUUUCUCCAGCAGUAAUCAAUGCUGCCUCAUCCAUAGGAGCAGCCCGCCCUGAAUCCUCUCUCUCAGGGUAUACAGUUUAUUUUGCACUUAACUUUCAAAAUAGUAUUUUUCCUUUGUAAUAAAUUGCUUUGUACUUCUC
Molecule: long non-coding RNA, 2040 nt
Organism: Cercocebus atys (sooty mangabey)
Lineage: Eukaryota; Metazoa; Chordata; Mammalia; Primates; Cercopithecidae
Exons: 4
Source: RefSeq, a predicted model, not a curated record